UACAGAGGUCUCAAGCGUUGUUCGGAUUCAUUGGGCGUAAAGGGUGCGUAGGCGGCGCGGUAAGUCGGAUGUGAAAUCUCGGAGCUUAACUUCGAAACUGCAUUCGAUACUGCCGUGCUUGAGGACUGGAGAGGAGACUGGAAUUUACGGUGUAGCGGUGAAAUGCGUAGAUAUCGAGAGGAACACCAGUGGCGAAGGCGAGUCCCUGGACAACUCCUGACACUGAGGCACGAAAGCUAGGGGAGCAAACAGG
Molecule: ribosomal RNA, 253 nt
Filed under: uncultured bacterium
Lineage: Bacteria
Description: partial 16S ribosomal RNA
Rfam family: Bacterial small subunit ribosomal RNA
Source: RNAcentral